UACAGAGGUCUCAAGCGUUGUUCGGAUUCAUUGGGCGUAAAGGGUGCGUAGGUGGCGAUGUAAGUCUGGUGUGAAGUCUCGGGGCUCAACCUCGAAAUUGCAUUGGAUACUGCGUUGCUUGAGGAUUGUAGAGGAGAGUGGAAUUCACGGUGUAGCAGUGAAAUGCGUAGAUAUCGUGAGGAAGACCAGUUGCGAAGGCGACUCUCUGGGCAAUUCCUGACACUGAGGCACGAAGGCCAGGGGAGCAAACGGG
RNAcentral lists this ribosomal RNA (253 nucleotides) under uncultured bacterium. RNAcentral's name for it is "partial 16S ribosomal RNA". It matches the Rfam family "Bacterial small subunit ribosomal RNA", at positions 524 to 776 of the family's 1533-position model. The record is from RNAcentral.